RNAcentral lists this unclassified non-coding RNA (1538 nucleotides) under Zea mays. RNAcentral's name for it is "misc RNA Zm00001eb120170". The record is from RNAcentral. Lineage: Eukaryota; Viridiplantae; Streptophyta; Magnoliopsida; Poales; Poaceae.
GCGCACAUGAUCCGCGACCCGACGGGGUUCUGGGACGCGCAGGCGGCGCGCGCCAAGCGGUCCGGCGCGGGCCUCGCCGCCGACUUCCUGGUGGGGCGGUUCGUGGUGUUCAUCCGCGACUCGGAGCUGUCCCACCGCGUGUUCGCCAACGUCCGCCCCGACGCGUUCCACCUCAUCGGCCACCCCUUCGGCAAGAAGCUGUUCGGCGACCACAACCUCAUCUACAUGUUCGGCGAGGACCACAAGGACCUGCGGCGGCGGAUCGCGCCCAACUUCACCCCGCGCGCGCUGUCCACCUACGCCGCGCUCCAGCAGCGCGUCAUCCUGGCGCACCUCCGGCGGUGGCUCGACCGGAGCGGCGGCGGCGGUGGCGGGGCGUUCCCCAUCCGCGUGCCCUGCCGCGACAUGAACCUGGAGACCUCGCAGACGGUGUUCGUGGGGCCGUACCUCGCCGGGGAGGCCCGGCGGCGGUUCGAGCGGGACUACAACCUCUUCAACGUCGGGCUCAUGGCGCUGCCCAUCGACCUGCCCUGCUUCGCGUUCCGGCGCGCCAGGGAGGGCGUGGCGCGGCUGGUGCGCACGCUGGGCGAGUGCGCGCGGCAGAGCAAGGCGCGGAUGCGCGCCGGCGGCGAGCCCGAGUGCCUGGUGGACUUCUGGAUGCAGGACACGCUGCGGGAGAUGGACGAGGCGGCGGCGGCGGGGCGCCCGCCCCCCGCGCACACCGACGACGAGGAGAUCGGCGGGUUCAUGUUCGACUUCCUGUUCGCGGCGCAGGACGCGUCCACCUCGUCCCUCUGCUGGGCGGUGUCGGCGCUGGACUCCCACCCGGAGGUGCUGGCCCGCGUGCGCGCCGAGGUGUCGGCCGCCUGGUCGCCGGACUCCGGCGAGCCGAUGACGGCGGAGACGAUCCAGGGGAUGCGGUACACGCAGGCGGUGGCGCGCGAGGUGGUCCGGCACCGGCCCCCCGCGACGCUGGUGCCGCACAUCGCGGGCGAGGCGUUCCAGCUGACGGAGUGGUACACGGUGCCCAAGGGCGCCAUCGUGUUCCCGUCCGUGUACGAGUCGUCGUUCCAGGGGUUCCCGGACGCGGAGGCGUUCGACCCGGAGCGCUUCUUCUCGGAGGCGCGGCGGGAGGACGUGGCGUACAGGCGCAACUUCCUGGCAUUCGGCGCCGGGCCGCACCAGUGCGUGGGGCAGCGGUACGCGCUGAACCACCUCGUCCUGUUCAUGGCGCUGUUCGUGUCGGUGGUGGACUUCCGGCGGGAGAGGACGCCCGGGUGCGACGACCCGGUGUACAUGCCCACCAUCGUGCCCAAGGACGGCUGCUCCGUGUACCUCAAGCAGCGAUGCGCCAAGUUGCCGUCGUUCUGAGAAUCCUGAGCUGCCUUCUUGUCCUCUUGCGCUCCUGCCUCUGUCUCUCGGUUCCGCUGCCGCUUCGUGGUUCUUGCCUGCUCCUUCCCACAUUUUUUUUUUCAUUUCGAUUCCUUGGCGGGGGCCAUCUCCCUCCCGUGGUGCUUGGUGUUGUUGGUGGUGUGAUG